Molecule: ribosomal RNA, 378 nt
Filed under: uncultured eukaryote
Lineage: Eukaryota
Description: partial 18S ribosomal RNA
Rfam family: Eukaryotic small subunit ribosomal RNA
Source: RNAcentral
CAAUAGCGUAUAUUUAAGUUGUUGCAGUUAAAAAGCUCGUAGUUGGAUUUCGGGUGGGACGCAGCGGUCUCGCAUUGCGUUUGUACUGCUGCAGCCCUCCUUCUUGCCGGGGGCGGCCUCUCGGACUUCACUGUCUGGGGGUCAGAAUCGGCGAUGUUACUUUGAGCAAAUUAGAGUGUUCAAAGCAAGCUUACGCUCUGAAUAUAAUAGCAUGGGAUAACACGACAGGACUCUGGCCUAUCGUGUUGGUCUAUAGGACCAGAGUAAUGAUUAAGAGGGACAGUCGGGGGCAUUCGUAUUCCGUUGUCAGAGGUGAAAUUCUUGGAUUUACGGAAGACGAACAUCUGCGAAAGCAUUUGCCAAGGAUGUUUNCAUUGA